UGGGGAAUUUUGGACAAUGGGCGCAAGCCUGAUCCAGCCAUGCCGCGUGCGGGAAGAAGGCCUUCGGGUUGUAAACCGCUUUUGUCAGGGAAGAAAUCUUCUGAGUUAAUACCUCGGGAGGAUGACGGUACCUGAAGAAUAAGCACCGGCUAACUACGUGCCAGCAGCCGCGGUAAUACGUAGGGUGCAAGCGUUAAUCGGAAUUACUGGGCGUAAAGCGUGCGCAGGCGGUUUUGUAAGACAGNGGCGAAAUCCCCGGGCUCAACCUGGGAACUGCCUUUGUGACUGCAAGCUUGAGUGCGGCAGAGGGGGGAUUGGAAUUCCGCGUGUAGCGGUGAAAUGCGUAGAUAUGCGGAGGAACACUGAUGGCGAAGGGCAAUCCCCCUUGGGCCUGACUGACGCUCAUGCACGAAAGCGUGGGGAGCAAACAGG
This 432-nucleotide ribosomal RNA is filed under the name uncultured bacterium. RNAcentral's name for it is "partial 16S ribosomal RNA". It matches the Rfam family "Bacterial small subunit ribosomal RNA", at positions 355 to 776 of the family's 1533-position model. The record is from RNAcentral.